GGCCCGUUAGCUCAGUUGGUUAGAGUGUCGUGCUAAUAACGCGAAGGUCGUGGGUUCGAUCCCCCCACGGGCCA
Non-coding RNA from Stegodyphus mimosarum, 74 nucleotides. The record is from Rfam. Lineage: Eukaryota; Metazoa; Arthropoda; Arachnida; Araneae; Eresidae.